Molecule: long non-coding RNA, 2199 nt
Organism: Pungitius pungitius (ninespine stickleback)
Lineage: Eukaryota; Metazoa; Chordata; Actinopteri; Perciformes; Gasterosteidae
Exons: 2
Source: RefSeq, a predicted model, not a curated record
UUGUUUCCAGGGGACUUUUCUGAAGAGGAAGAAGAGGAGGAGGAAGAGGAGGAAGAAGAGGAGGAAGAAGAGGAGGAAGAGGAGGAGGAAGUGGAGGAGCCCAUGUUGGACUUGGAGAGGCAACUGAUGCGCUAUCGUCUGGAGGCAGUGAUAUUGCUGUGGGAGCCACACGAUGAGGAGGAAGAGGAGGAGGAGGAGGAUGACAAGGAUUCUGGGUACGACUCCAUGUCUGAUGGCGGAUGGAUGGACUGGGUGGCAGAGGAGGAAGAAGAGCAACAUGAAGAUGGCCCUUUCCUGCAGUUUGUACUACUGCAACCCCCCCCACUUCCUGAAGAAGCGCCGCUCCCAGUCCCCCAGAUGUCAGGAUUGUCCACCAAGAGGAGCAGGCAAGAGGACGACACCGGUCCCCACCCCUUCUCCACUAAGAGGACCAGGGAAGAGGACUACAGGGAGUCAGCACCCUCCACUUCAGGCCUCGCCCCACCCACACACAGAAGAUACUGGCAGCAGGCGGAAGGCAGCGACUCGGAUUGAUGUCCUGAAGGAGCACCAACCUCACUCUUUCAGAUGUCAGGAGUGUCCUCAAACCAGGAAAGAGGACUAAGAGGACAGGUAAGUGUGAAAAGGUUGAUGGACGGUGACGAGACACAGUAUCUUGAAGUGUAGGCCCCUCGUCCAUUAAGAAGACCAGGGAAGAGGACUAGAAGAUACUGGCAGUCGGCUGAAAACAGAAACUUGGAUUAACAGCGACAUUCUGCUUGCUGCAGGAUGUCAAACCGCCUUUCCUCGUGUUUCGCGAGGUCGGUAAAGGUAGCAUCUUGCAGCAGAGUUUGGACAUGUCUCGUCUUUAUGGAUUGAUCAAUUUGCGAACCAGUGCAAUCUCCCCCACUCCCUUCUCCUGUGGAAUGUCCUGACCAAGCGCCAACCCUAGUCUUCCAGAUGUCAGGAGUUUCCUCCAAGCAGGCAAAAGGACGACAUGGGGCAGGUAAGUGUGAAAAGACAGAGGGACCGUGUCGAGGACCAUGUGGACACAGUCCCUUUCACUUCAGGUAUGGGCCCCUCCUCCACUAAGAGGAUCAGGGAAGAGGACUACACUGAGUCAGCACCCGAAAAUUGAUGCCUCUGCCCCUUCUUAAUGAAGAGCCGAGCAGGUGGUUUUCCCCCCUCCAUUUCAGGCCUCAGCCCCCCCCACACGGAUCCUGGCAGUGGGCUGAAAGCAGCGACUUGGAUUGAGAGCGACAGCCCUCUUGCUGCACAAAAUCAAACCUUGUGACUUGCUACAGGAUGUGAAACCUUUGUGUCUGGUGAGGACUGAUAAAGCCCCAGACAGCCUUUCCUCUUGAUUAGCGAGGUUGGCUAAACGUAGGAUCUUGUUGUUAUUGUUACAUAUCUCUUCUUUAUGGUUUUAAUUUGGAUUAAUAGUUGAUGCUAUUUACAGAGGCCAGAGGUAAGUACAGGGGAUAGUUGUUAUUCUGUGUUGUAUUUUUCUUCAUGAUGUUUUUACCAGACCAAGGUAAGUCUAUGCUUAUUAAUAACAUGCAUACCAAACAUGAAGUCUCUAUAUACUUUGUAACAUUAAGGUGAAGGUGACUGAACCAGACAAUGUUUAUGUAAUAUUCCCAACAUUAAGAAAAGGUUUUCAAGUUUCUUUUACAGUAAUCCAGGAUCUCCUUGACAACGGAAAAGAUGAGCCUACUACAGGACCAGAUGAGAAGAAUGGAGGACAGGACGAGAUGAGAAGGACGGAGGACUACAGGACGAGAUGAGAAGGACGGAGGACUACAGGACCAGAUGAGAAGGACGGAGGACUACAGGACCAGAUGAGAAGGACGGAGGACUACAGGACCAGAUGAGAAGGAUGGACGACUACAGGACCAGAUGAGAAGGAUGGACGACUAAAGAGCGGCUGGCGCCUUUCUUUUAUUGGGCCAAGGAGAGACUCCUCCAGGCUUUGGUCUCACUCCUGGGACAGCGAAGAGUAGAAGUCAACCAACCCGUCAUCCCAGGUGGACCCAGACCCCCCCACAGACCCCUGAAUCCCUCUCAGCACACCAGUGAGUCCCAGACCCGCCACCCCAAGACCGCCCGCCCCAGCCACCCGGAGAGAGGACGUCAGCAGCUGUCAGCCAAGAAUUCAUAUUCCCAAAAAAUGAUCAUUCACAACUUAAACUUAAAUAAAAUGUCAUGUUUAUUAUGAUU